AAUUUUAUUGUGAACAAAUUGUUAUAGAUAUUUAUGUUUAUGUAGUUAGCUCCUUGAGUCUCGAAAAUGAAUCGAGACCGUUGGUACCGAGUUAGCGGUGGGGAGAACUCUGAUAUAUUAAUGUUGUUGUGGUGAUUUAUGGUUGAAAAUUUUGGAGAUUAAAUAUGGGUGAUUAAUGUUUGGAAAUUUUGGUGAUUCAUGUUUGGUGAAAUUGAUGUGUUAAUAAUUAAUAUUAUGAAUUUUUUAGAAGAAAUUUAUGUGUGACUUGGUGGAAAAUGAAUUUAAUUCAAUUUAGGUGUGAAUGGAAUUUGGAGUUGUGAUUUAUGUGUGGUUGUGGAAAUUUUAAUUGGUGUGAAUAAAUAUGUUUGAG
This 370-nucleotide long non-coding RNA is filed under the name Cicer arietinum (chickpea). RNAcentral's name for it is "long non-coding RNA (CARI_LNC003504)". Lineage: Eukaryota; Viridiplantae; Streptophyta; Magnoliopsida; Fabales; Fabaceae. The record is from RNAcentral.